RNAcentral lists this ribosomal RNA (485 nucleotides) under uncultured bacterium. Its description in RNAcentral is "bacterial SSU rRNA". It matches the Rfam family "Bacterial small subunit ribosomal RNA", at positions 31 to 507 of the family's 1533-position model. The record is from RNAcentral.
GAACGCUGGCGGCAGGCCUAACACAUGCAAGUCGAGCGGUAACAUUUCUAGCUUGCUAGAAGAUGACGAGCGGCGGACGGGUGAGUAACGCGUAGAAAUCUACCUAGUAGUGGGGGAUAGCCCAGAGAAAUUUGGAUUAAUACCGCAUACGCCCUACGGGGGAAAGCGGGGGAUCUUCGGACCUCGUGCUAUUAGAUGAGUCCGCGUCGGAUUAGCUUGUUGGUGAGGUAAUGGCUCACCAAGGCGACGAUCCGUAGCUGGUCUGAGAGGAUGACCAGCCACACUGGAACUGAGACACGGUCCAGACUCCUACGGGAGGCAGCAGUGGGGAAUAUUGCACAAUGGGCGCAAGCCUGAUGCAGCCAUGCCGCGUGUGUGAAGAAGGCCUUAGGGUUGUAAAGCACUUUCAGCAGUGAGGAAAGGGGUGUCGUUAAUAGCGCCAUCCUGUGACGUUAACUGCAGAAGAAGGACCGGCUAACUCCGUG